RNAcentral lists this long non-coding RNA (3463 nucleotides) under Oryza sativa (Asian cultivated rice). Its description in RNAcentral is "long non-coding RNA (OSAT_LNC000102)". The record is from RNAcentral. Lineage: Eukaryota; Viridiplantae; Streptophyta; Magnoliopsida; Poales; Poaceae.
GUCGAGGGAUGGAAUGAUCGGUUUCGACUGGUAUGACAAUUGAGGGACGAAACUAAACCAUUGCAAGAGUCAAGGGUCGAAAGUAGACUUUUUCCUCCUAGAUAAGAGCAUCAAGUUAGUGAAAUGCUGCAUAAAGUGUACAUAUAGUGAUAUUGUGGUGGCUAUAGAUAAACAAAGGAGGGGUAAAUGAAGCUACACUACAAUUAUGAGGAUAAGAACCCUGCCAUUUAUUAAGGACAAUUAAUAUGACCGGUUGCAUGCACAACAAUAGUAGGUCAGGGAAGUCAGCAGCACAUCAGCCUCGCUUUUCAGUGGAGGCAUAUUAUAAGACUAAUCAGGUAGCUGUAGUUUAUUAGGUAAAGCAGGCUAGAUUUUGCAUGCUCAUAUUUGAUUAAAACCGUAGGACUAAUCAGGUAGCUAUAGUUUAUUAGGUAGAACAGGCUAGAUUUUUGCAUGCUCAUAUUUGAUUAAAACUGUAGGACUUGCAUAUACUCCCAAAUAAAAAGGAAAGGAGAGAACAGAGAAAGAAACCUCAAGAAAUCAGACAAAAGCAUUCCAAUUGUAAAUGACCUUGAGCUUACCCGAGCACUCUGAUACCUGGUAACAAAGAAUGCACAGAAAAUGUUAGUUAUGAAGCCAUUGUUCUGUUACAAACUCUGAGACGAACCCAAAAAAAAAACAGUUGCAGCUAAACAAACCAUGGGCCACAUUUCAUGUCACUUUUGUUCCGUACCAAAUUCUUGUCUUGUUAGCAUAAUAGAUUCAUCCUGAAUUCAUUUACCCAUCAUGGUACUGUAAUUAUCACCAAAUUUAGUCCAAAAUAAGCCACAUACUAUGCAUUACGAGAAUAACAUCUUAUAACUUUAUUACAAUUGCAACUUAGUAAGCUAUUGUUUAUUUUGAGGCACUUUUCGGUUUUUUCAGGGAGGAGAUGUUGGACAUCUUCAAAGAUUAUUACCUAAUACCAAUGACCCCAAGCAGGUAUCAUCUUUGCCCUAUCACAAAAUUCAAUUUACUUUAGAUAUAGUUGGUAUACAUAGAGUUUUUCUUUUUCAUUUGAUGAUAUUUAGGAAUGUUUUCUUACAAACAGUCUAACAAUGCAAAAUUCUUCACGAUUAUAUAUAGGUUCUGUAUGUGACACAUCAUAUUACCAAAGAGAUGCUCAACAACAAGGCCCAAGGUAUGUGCUAUUCACUUGCUAUUUUUAGGUGACCUAGAAUAUGGUGGAUGUUAUAAACUUGACUGAAUAUAAUAGUUUGGGUCUGUUAGAGGAAGGGAUUAUUAUACUAUCAUACAUCAUCAUGGAAAAUCAUGAUGAAUGGGUGCCGACUCUAGCUGGCACCAAAACAGCCACAAUACAUGCAUCUGGGAAUGAUCAAGCACAAGGUGGUACCCAGGCGUAUAAUUGUACUUUUGUAGCAAUAUCCCAAAUUAUCCUCUCCUGUUUUAACUCUAAAAAUAGGAGCCAGUGAACAUAGCUUUACGAGUUAUAUACAUAAAGAGUACUCAGCAAAAUCAAGUGACAACCAUCAUUUUCCUUAACACUUGAUGUGCAUCCAGCACAACGAAAACUGGAAGAAAUUUUAUAUGCUUGAAGAUAACGAUAUAAUGUGUUUUGUUUUUAUUCCAUUAGUCUGGAUUUUUCCAUUUAUAUUAUUUCAGUAAUAAUUGGUCGUGCUGCAUUUUGUAAGGUUGGAAGACUAUGCAAAUUAUACCUGAGCUGGAAAAGGAAUUGCAAAUUAUCAGAGAACAGGGGUCAAUUCGACAGGUAUUCUUUUUCUAAAAAAAAUAAACACAAAAUUGCUACAAUGUUUCGGACAGAUGGUUAGCCCAUUUCCCCUCUCAAAGUGGAGAUCAGUACAUGUUCUGAUGUUUUUUGCGUGAAAACUUAAAAGACAUUCUCUCCUACUGAGUGGUUCUCAAUAUGCUUACAUGCUACAAUGAUUAAGGGUGAUUCAGAUGGUAACAUGAAAAAUAUAUUGAAUAAAAUGUCUAACCAAUAUUUAAUGUCUUCUCUAUUUAUUGUUCAUUUAUGGAUUAUCUAGAGUAGCAUGCAAUCAUUCUGUUUGUUAGCUUCUGCUUAAUUGCUUAUGGCUUGUUCUUUCCAAUUUGGACUCUCCAACACAGAUUAUUAUUCGUGCCAGAGUGAAAUCAAAUAGUGUAGAAGAUAAAAUCUGUAUGCUCAGAAGCACCACUGAGUAAGACAAUAGUGUUGUUCAUUCUACUUUCUUCCUAUUCAAUAUUUUUUCUCUCUCGAAUGAUUUUGCAGCAAAUAAGUAAUUGUGUUUUUAUUUUGGACAGGGUUGAUGUAAUGGAGAAAAUAAACAAACUGACCAGUGAGAAGAAAGAAGGGAAUGGACAGCGAACGUGAAACUGCUGAAAAGAGGCUAGCUUCAAAGGUAACUUUGCACACUUAUUUCAACCAUCUGCGACGCUAUGGUAGUUAAUUUAGGAAUUAGUAUCAGCUAACAGCAGAUUGUUUUGUUUUAUUUCAGUUUAAUGAUAAAUGGGGUCCAGUUAUGAAGGCUGGGAAUAAGAAUUCCCGAUUUGCUCGCGAGGUGGCAUUUAAUUUGUUGAGAUUUUGUUUUGAGGUGUUAUACAACAGUUACCAUUAGCAGUUGACAGUUUCUCUUUUGGCUUUAUUCCGUUUUCGCAGGUAGAAAGAUCAGCAUGGUUAUAUACCAGCAGGGCGUCAAACUUGGCUGCUGAGAGAUGUUAUGAACAAUCAGACCAGUUGAUGGCACAUGACUCCGAUUUGUUGAGCUUCCAUUUGGGCAAGGACUGAAGCAGUUUAUAGCCAAACUAGGUCGAUCUAGCUUCCUUGUAGGCAAGGACUGAUGCAGUUUAUAGCCAAAAAAAUGGGAUCAACCCAACCCAUCCCGGUUCUUUUUUUUUGGGGGACAAAAAGAAAAGGAAGUGAUAAUAGCCAAACUAGGUCGAUCUAGCUUCCUUGUAGGCUAGCUAAAUGGAUGAUACUAGUUGUGAUCUAAACGUUAAUACAACGAAAGUCCCAAGGCCCAAAUUUUGGAUUUGCAAGUUUUUGGUUCCAUACAUACCUGGAUCGGAAAAGAUCCACUGGAUCUGGAGCACCCUUCUCAAUGCCUGUCUUCAACUCCUUCCCCGCUCACGCUCAGACUGCUUCGCAAAGGUCGAAGGAGGCUUGAUCCGCCGCAAACAGCGCCGGUUAAGCAAUCCCCACCCAAACCACGACCACACACAUCGACGGGGCGCAGAUCGAGCGAUGAUGAAAGAACCUCGACCCCACGUUAAUUCGGGGGCGAAGCCGGGGAAUUCAACUAUUCGCCGCUACUAGGUUGGGAAAGCAGUAGGUUCGUCAAUUGUCCAAAUAACCCUCUAUCUGCCUUUAUUUUUUUCCGCUCUAGGACGGUGGUUUCUUAACUAUUUACCACUUUUACUCACGUGGCAUGCUAACAUGGCAAACCAGUGUAAAAAUCGAUGUAGG